Non-coding RNA from Parastagonospora nodorum SN15, 77 nucleotides. Lineage: Eukaryota; Fungi; Ascomycota; Dothideomycetes; Pleosporales; Phaeosphaeriaceae. The record is from the annotation of a RefSeq genome assembly.
GGGCUCGUGGUUUAGUGGUAUAAUACUCCCUUAGCAUGGGAGUGGUCCGGGGUUCGAGUAAGUCACUCUGAAGCUCA